Long non-coding RNA from Stegodyphus dumicola, 1274 nucleotides. NCBI's taxonomy places the organism in Eukaryota, Metazoa, Arthropoda, Arachnida, Araneae, Eresidae. The record is from RefSeq and is a predicted model, not a curated record.
UUCAACAUUUCGUUGGAUACUCUUUAGCUAAAAUUACACUUUUUAUACCUUUUGGCAAGGAAUCAAUUAAUAUUUUUUUCACGUAAGAAUGUUCAAUGCUUUUCAUUUCUUUGUCAGAAAUGCUUUUAGUAGAGUUUCGAAGAACUGUCUUGUUUUCUUACUCUUCUUUUCUUCUACUCACUCCAUACAUGUUCUAUAGUCCGGAGAAUAUGGUGAAGUUUCUAACUUCAAUACAGCUGGAAAAAGGAAGAGGUCCGAAAUCGAAUCUGGGCGGGUGAAACCAAGGAGGUUAGAACCUCCUUGGGUGAAACUAACUUGUGCAGAUAGUUUAAAGGAAAGAAAAAAGUAUAAAAGGUGGUGAAUACAAAAAUGUGAGCGAGGUGUUUUAUUUGUGGUUCAGUAGAGCUAAGGAAACAGGGAACAUCCUUUUCAAGACCAAUUUUACAAGAAAAGGCCCUAAAAUAUUGUGAUGAAUUUCAAGGAGGAGAGCCUGAAUUAACUGCAAGUGCUGACUGUCUCGAUAGACGAAAACAGCUGUCGGCUCAGACGACAUCAGGCAGUUAAAUGUUAAUAGGAAAAGCUGUCUGCUAACUUAGAAAAUGCUGCAAUAUUCAAAGAUAAUUUCCACAAACUAAUUGAAAAGGAGGGUAUAUCUGGGGAUCAAAUUUAUAACUGUGAUGAGACGGGUCUAAAUUUUCGAAUGCUGGUAUCUUGGGAAGAAAAUUCGGCACCUGGCUGCAAAGAAACAAGCUCAAACUAGCGCUUAUAGGCAAAUCAAAAAAUCCUAGUUUUUCAAAAUCUUAAAAAAAAACACUAAUGGGGCCGAAAUCAACUAUCAUCUUCUUGUUUUGUACCGUAAUCUGUCAAACGCAGGGAUGAAUGGAGCAAAAUUUAAUGAUUGGUUUCGUCAGCAGUUUGUUCCAUCGGUGGAAAAGUUUUUUAAAUAAAAAAUUCUACCAAGCAAAGCAAUUCUCAUUCUAGACAAUGCCUCAUCUCAUCCUAAUGCAAAGCAGUUACGAGACGAAGAUAUAGGAAUCAUGUGUCUCCCUCCUAACGCAACUUCGGUGUGUCCGCCGAUGGACCAGGGGGUUUUCGUUUACCAAGAUUUCGAUGUAAACAACAAACAAUGUUUCAACCGGAACUGUGAAUUCUACUUCCGGCACAGCAACUGCAUUUGAACAAAACCAGAAAACCUUUUCUCCUGAAAGUGAAUUCGCCUAGGAGUUCUACAAGCUGUAAAAUGUUCUGUAAAUAAAGCUUAUUAGGAAUGCUUA